AAAGAUUAAGCCAUGCAUGUCUAAGUAUAAACGUUCUAAACGUGAAACCGUGAAUGGCUCAUUAAAACAGCUAUAAUUCACUUGAUCUUGACACAAUCCUACUUGGAUAACUGUGGUAAUUCUAGAGCUAAUACAUGCAUUAAAGCUCUGACCUCACGGAAAGAGUGCAUUUAUUAGAACAAAACCAAGCGGCUUCGGCUGUUUUCGGUUGACUCAUAAUAACUAAGCUGAUCGCAUGGUCUUGUACCGGCGACGUGUCUUUCAAGUAUCUGCCUUAUCAACUUUCGAUGGUAGUGUAUCUGACUACCAUGGUGAUGACGGGUAACGGAGGAUAAGGGUUCGACUCCGGAGAAGGGGCCUGAGAAAUGGCCACUACGUCUAAGGAUGGCAGCAGGCGCGCAAAUUACCCACUCUCAGAACGAGGAGGUAGUGACGAGAAAUAACGAGACCGUUCUCUUAAGAGGCCGGUCAUCGGAAUGGGUACAAUUUAAACCCUUUAACGAGUAUCUAUGAGAGGGCAAGUCUGGUGCCAGCAGCCGCGGUAAUUCCAGCUCUCAAAAUGCAUAGAAUUAUUGCUGCGGUUAAAAAGCUCGUAGUUGGAUCUGUGCUGGCCUCCCGGUCCACCUUCGGGUGUGCACUGGUGAGGUUGGCUUUCCUGCCCAUUUUUCGGUCAGUGCCUUUAACCGGGUGCUGGUCGUAGUGGGCAAGUUUACUUUGAACAAAUCAGAGUGCUCAAAACAGGCGUUUCGCUUGAAUGUUCGUGCAUGGAAUAAUAGAAGAGGAUUUCGGUUCUAUUUUAUUGGUUUUAUAGACUGAGAUAAUGGUUAACAGAGACAAACGGGGGCAUUCGUAUUGCUGCGUGAGAGGUGAAAUUCUUGGACCGUAGCAAGACGAACUACAGCGAAAGCAUUUGCCAAGAAUG
RNAcentral lists this ribosomal RNA (922 nucleotides) under Sauertylenchus maximus. RNAcentral describes it as "SSU rRNA". It matches the Rfam family "Eukaryotic small subunit ribosomal RNA", at positions 39 to 966 of the family's 1831-position model. The record is from RNAcentral. Lineage: Eukaryota; Metazoa; Nematoda; Chromadorea; Rhabditida; Telotylenchidae.